UUUUAUCAUAGCUUGCUAUGAUAAAAAUUAGUGGCAGACGGGUGAGUAAUGCAUAGGAAUCUACCUAGUAGUAUGGGAUAGCCACUAGAAAUGGUGGGUAAUACUGUAUAAUCCCUGCGGGGGAAAGAUUUAUCGCUAUUAGAUGAGCCUAUGUUAGAUUAGCUAGUUGGUAGGGUAAAGGCCUACCAAGGCAGUGAUCUAUAGCUGGUCUGAGAGGAUGAUCAGCCACACUGGAACUGAGAUACGGUCCAGACUCCUACGGGAGGCAGCAGUGGGGAAUAUUGGACAAUGGGCGCAAGCCUGAUCCAGCUAUGCCGCGUGAGUGAGGAAGGCCUUAGGGUUGUAAAACUCUUUCAGUGGGGAAGAUAAUGACGGUACCCACAGA
RNAcentral lists this ribosomal RNA (385 nucleotides) under uncultured Anaplasma sp. RNAcentral's name for it is "bacterial SSU rRNA". It matches the Rfam family "Bacterial small subunit ribosomal RNA", at positions 68 to 485 of the family's 1533-position model. Lineage: Bacteria; Pseudomonadati; Pseudomonadota; Alphaproteobacteria; Rickettsiales; Anaplasmataceae. The record is from RNAcentral.